GACGAACGCUGGCGGCGUGCUUAACACAUGCAAGUCGAACGAGUGGCGAACGGGUGAGUAACACGUGGGUGACCUGCCCUGCACUUCGGGAUAAGCCUGGGAAACUGGGUCUAAUACCGGAUAGUGUGGGAUGGGCCCGCGGCCUAUCAGCUUGUUGGGGGGGUAAUGGCUACCAAGGCGCGACGGGUAGCCGGCCUGAGAGGGUGGACGGCCAAAUUGGUACAGAGAACCGGGCCAGACUCCUACGGGAGGCAGCAGUGGGGAAUCUUCCGCAAUGGACGAAAGUCUGACGGAGCAACGCCGCGUGAGUGAUGACGGCCUGCGGGUUGUAAAGCUCUGUUAAUCGGGACGCGGUACCGGAAUAGAAAGCCACGGCUAACUACGUGCCAGCAGCCGCGGUAAUUC
RNAcentral lists this ribosomal RNA (405 nucleotides) under uncultured bacterium. RNAcentral describes it as "partial 16S ribosomal RNA". It matches the Rfam family "Bacterial small subunit ribosomal RNA", at positions 28 to 526 of the family's 1533-position model. The record is from RNAcentral.